Molecule: non-coding RNA, 28 nt
Filed under: Rattus norvegicus (Norway rat)
Lineage: Eukaryota; Metazoa; Chordata; Mammalia; Rodentia; Muridae
Source: RNAcentral
UAGUCAAACUCAUGCUAUUUAACAUCAA